This 72-nucleotide transfer RNA is filed under the name Alloscardovia macacae. It matches the Rfam family "tRNA". From Rfam's summary of the family: Transfer RNA (tRNA) molecules are approximately 80 nucleotides in length. Their secondary structure includes four short double-helical elements and three loops (D, anti-codon, and T loops). Further hydrogen bonds mediate the characteristic L-shaped molecular structure. tRNAs have two regions of fundamental functional importance: the anti-codon, which is responsible for specific mRNA codon recognition, and the 3' end, to which the tRNAs corresponding amino acid is attached (by aminoacyl-tRNA synthetases). tRNAs cope with the degeneracy of the genetic code in two manners: having more than one tRNA (with a specific anti-codon) for a particular amino acid; and 'wobble' base-pairing, i.e. permitting non-standard base-pairing at the 3rd anti-codon position. RNAcentral also lists the same sequence under 9 other names. The record is from Rfam by way of RNAcentral. Lineage: Bacteria; Bacillati; Actinomycetota; Actinomycetes; Bifidobacteriales; Bifidobacteriaceae.
GCCUCGAUAGCUCAGUGGUAGAGCACUUCCUUGGUAAGGAAGAGGUCGCGAGUCCGAUUCUCGCUCGAGGCU